This 253-nucleotide ribosomal RNA is filed under the name uncultured bacterium. RNAcentral describes it as "partial 16S ribosomal RNA". It matches the Rfam family "Bacterial small subunit ribosomal RNA", at positions 524 to 776 of the family's 1533-position model. The record is from RNAcentral.
UACGUAGGGCGCAAGCGUUAUCCGGAAUUAUUGGGCGUAAAGAGCUCGUAGGCGGUUUGUCGCGUCUGCCGUGAAAGUCCGGGGCUCAACUCCGGAUCUGCGGUGGGUACGGGCAGACUAGAGUGAUGUAGGGGAGACUGGAAUUCCUGGUGUAGUGGUGAAAUGCGCAGAUAUCAGGAGGAACACCAAUGGCGAAGGCAGCUCUCUGGGACGGUACUGACGCUGAGACGCGAAAGCGUGGGGAGCGAACAGG